GAAAUGCCUACCUAUGGGAAAGCUGUAAGGAUUAACUUCCCGACAUAGGAGAAGCACUAAAAAUACUUAAUAUAAUUAAUAAUCAUCACGUAGCUUCUGAAUUUCUCUCCAGCCUCAUUUCCUGGCAUUUUCCACUCUGACCCCUAUUUCCUGAGCAUCUCAGACCCUCCUGCUGUUACCUAUCUCUGAGCACUUCCUGUCCCCCACUGUAGCUUGCCAAGUAACCAUUAUCCUUUAAAUCUUAGCCAGAUUUCUGAAGCUUCCCUUUCUCUUCCAGGCAGAAUUAGACACUCCUUCCCUGUGACACUUUAACCCUUGAAAAUACUGUGUCACUGAUUUUAAGUAUUAUUCCCUCGUGUCUUAGCACCUCUGUAAUCAGGGUUCACUUGGUAGCCUGUCUGCUCUUCUCAAUGGCAUACAGCUUAUCCAUUAUUCUUUCUGCAUCUCAUGUCCUUUUUUCCACAUCUUUGUAACCUGAAGAAAAUAGAAUCCAUGUGCUAGCUUUCCACUCUCAGGGGCUAGACAAAGUAUUCAAUCAAAUAAGAGUAAAGGAACAAACAACACAGGCAGUGGCUGAUUUUAUCAGGUAGUACACGGUCUCUGUAUAAAUGCUAACAUCUCACAGGUGACAACAGAUAGCAGUACUACAGCACUUAGUAUGUGCCCAGUCCCACAUAGAGUCUUCAUAGGUAUUAAUUAACCUACUUCAUCUUCACAAAAAUAUAAUGAGCUAGAGUUUAUUUUUACCUUCAUUUCACAGAUGGGGAGAAUGAACUUCGGGGAGGUUAAACAAGAUGCCCAGGAUCCUGUAGCUGUUGAGGUGGGAUUUGAACCCAGGUUAUUUGGCUUUCAAGCCCACAUCUCGAAUUCUUACUCAUGGCUCUUUUACUGUGUGAUGGUAGAUUAAGUUAGGUUUUUUUUAGCCAAGCAUUUAAAGUCACCCGCAGUUUGCCUGGCAGUCCAUCCAGUUAUCUUGUUCGUGAACUCCCAAUUAAGAUGGGCCCACAUCUUACCAUCUGAUUAUUUUCCUUUCUCUGCCUGUAGUCACACCUGUGUUUUCAUUAUCAGCUGUUCAAACAUCCAACUGGCUUCAAACGUCAUCCCAACCCAUCCUCAUCAUGUGUUUGGAGUCCACUCUGCCCCACCAAGUAAAAGCUUCCUUCUGAAUUGACUUGUAGUAGCCUUUGGAAAUUAGCCACGGGACACUGUAGGCAGAUAUUUUACCGCUGCAUUAGAGUCUAUAUCCUGAUAGCUUUUUCUAAAGGUUUCCAUGGCAAACUGUCAACUACGUGAGGAUAAGUAGGUCUUAGAAGUCUUUGUGUUCCUCUCCAAACUCUUCCGAUUUUAGUAGUCCCUAAAGUGGUAAGGAUUAAAUAAAGGUGGGAUCCAUAGGGUUGGUCUAAUAUGAUAAAUUGCAGCUCUAUCAUACAGACGGUGGUAUUAACAGUUCACUCUUCUGUCAUUCAGCUUACAUAUAUUGAGUAGUUAUGCCCUAGGAAUGAAGCUAAUUAUUAGCUGCAAUAGCUGCUAAUAACAGCCAUUGAAAUUUCCUGAGCUCUUGCUGUUUCUCAGACAUCAUGCUGAGAUACGUAGGUACCUUCAGUCCCCUACAAUAGCCCCAGAGUCCUGACAAUAGACCUGAAAAUUGCUAACACUAUACAUUUUAUCUUAUAAGCAUCUUAGACAUAUGGUCUGUCUACUUUCCUUCAUCCUUUUAUGCCUGACAAUUUUAGUAAAUGUUUGUUACUAAGCUAAAUGGAUAUAUUAAUGUUUCUGUUUACAAAACCUUCCCCAGAGAUUACAAUAUUAUCUAUUAUUCUACCUUGGGUCUUCCUGGCAUUCAUUCCUGAUGAAAAGAAGUUGGCAUGUUGACUCAAUAGAUAAGGACACCUUACCUCAAGCCUGAUGACUUGAGUUUUAUCCUGAGACUAACACAAUGGAAGGAGAAAACCAACUCCAUCAAGGUGUCCUCUGAUGUCUACAUGCACACCUAAACAUGCAUACACAUGUACACAUAUGCACACAAGAUGCACACAUGCAUACACAUACACACAUAUGAAUAAAUGAUGCAGAUUUUAAAAAUGUUGAAUAGUUUAGCAUAAAGGUAAUCUUACCAUAUUAACUGUCUAUAGGGUGGAGUUAGAACCAAUCAACCCACCUUGUUUAUCUACCUACGUCUCCUCCUCUUUGUCCUCCUUCCUUUUUCUCUUCCUCCUUUCCUUUGAAUGAUAAGACCCCAAAGCAAGUAAGAUUUGGUGCAUUUGGUGUGUAAGUCUAGACAGCCUCUGUGUUUUGUCUUUGGUUUUUAACUUGGUCUUCUGUGUUCCAAUUGGUUCUGGUAUUGUUUCACAGUUUGUGAAACUUUCAUCUCUUUCUUCUGAUAUUCUAGUUUUCUUUUCACAUCUUUUACCCAAGCACAAGAUAUGAUUUACUCAGGAUAAACAAGAGAAUUUUGUAUAAUACAGAUUGUUUUACACACACACACACACACACAUACACACACACCCCAUUUCUUGUAAGAUACUCUUACAAGAUGUGGCAGCCCAAAGAACAUCGAGAGUCAAACCCACAGUUCACCGUCUUUGUCCUACAGAUACAACAAUAAAUUCCAGCUCCGUGGAUGUGGGGACUGGGAGGGGGAGCACUCCGGCAACUCUUUUCACAGAGUGCUAAGUUUAAAGUCAAGUUGAACUAUUGUGAAUUGUGAUCAUAAAAACAACAAUUCCUUUGAGUCAGUCUCACUUUCUACUUAUGUCAAAUUAAAAUAACAUUCUUGCAUCAUUGUGUGGUACAGAGUUGAUAUUCUACAACUAGAGAGUAUAAGAUGGUGGCAAUGAGUAUUCAGUACAUGGAUUUACUUAAAAGAAAGAAAGCUGUGCUUAGCUUUAAUUCAUAUAUAUAUAUAUAUUGUAUGUUUCUAUGUAUAUAAAAUAUAUGUACUAUAUAUGUAUUGUAUGUGUAUAUAUGUGUGUGUAUGUAUAUGUGUGUGUGUAUGUGUAUACACACACACACACACAUAUAUGCACACACAUACACACUCUUGGGAAUUUUCUUUCCACCUUAAUUUAGAUCUAUAGUAACAAUGACAUCAUAUCUAAGAGCACAAUAUACACAUAUGUAUACACACAAACACAUACACAAAUGCAUACGUGUGUGCACACACAUACAUUCAAUUGGUGGUCAGCUGCCGUGUUUUGAUAAAUAAAUAUUAGCCAGAGAGUGAUGGAUUAAUGCAUGAGGUAAGUGGUAUUUCGGUCAUCUGGACAGCACAGAAGUACUAGGGGCAGUCCAGCCCUCAGCUAUCCCCUGGUUUCCAAGUAUUCGAGAGACCUUGCUUCUUACUUUGCAGCUACAUCUCUUCUGUGUUUCCAGCCCUUGCAUUUAAGAGUCACAUGGCCAUACAUGUGACUGCCAUGGUACUGGUCAGAGCACACAAGCAUCAGUCACAGCCUAGCCCCUUCUCCUUUUGUCUGGACAACUGUAAGGCUGUCGGGAGUGGAAAGUAGCCAGUGACACUCAACUUGGGUUGAGUUGCAUGAGAGCCUUGCCAACUCAGGCUUAGAAGGAGCUUAAGUGAACAAGCCACUGCCAGUUAAUAGUCAGCCUCACCUAUCAGAAUAUAUAAAGCUGCAGCCUACAGGCUGUUAGCAGUGUCCUUGGACUUAAUUUACAUAGUGGGAAAGAAUUGUUUAUUUUCUUUCAUCCGUCUCUUUAUCUAUUCACAUUCAACAUUUUUCUAACACCUUUUCAUCAGUCUGGUUGUUGAAAAAGGCCCCACUGCCUCUGCUUUCGAGGGACCCAGACCUAGCUGGACACAUAAGAAAACCACACUACAGUGUGUGAUAAAAGAGUCAGAUAGAGGAGGGAAAUGGGAACCAGAGAAAGGGACACUGAUCCAGGUUUGGGGCCCUUUGAGCUGUGCCUUAGUGGACGAAUGACACUUUCGCUGACUGAGCAAAUAGUAACCAGCUAAUAUCUGCCAUGUGCUGUGGACAGAGCGGUGCACAAGACAAACAGAUGGUAAAUAAAGACAAACCAGCAAAUUCAUUUCAGAGAUUACUGAAAAUUACAAAGUCAC
This 4078-nucleotide long non-coding RNA is filed under the name Mus musculus (house mouse). Its description in RNAcentral is "long non-coding RNA chr4:104652439-104656517". Lineage: Eukaryota; Metazoa; Chordata; Mammalia; Rodentia; Muridae. The record is from RNAcentral.